This 251-nucleotide ribosomal RNA is filed under the name Salmonella enterica subsp. enterica serovar Kentucky. RNAcentral's name for it is "partial 23S ribosomal RNA". It matches the Rfam family "Bacterial large subunit ribosomal RNA", at positions 659 to 909 of the family's 2925-position model. The record is from RNAcentral. Lineage: Bacteria; Pseudomonadati; Pseudomonadota; Gammaproteobacteria; Enterobacterales; Enterobacteriaceae.
AGGGGAGCCGGAGGGAAACCGAGUCUUAAUUGGGCGUUAAGUUGCAGGGUAUAGACCCGAAACCCGGUGAUCUAGCCAUGGGCAGGUUGAAGGUUGGGUAACACUAACUGGAGGACCGAACCGACUAAUGUUGAAAAAUUAGCGGAUGACCUGUGGCUGGGGGUGAAAGGCCAAUCAAACCGGGAGAUAGCUGGUUCUCCCCGAAAGCUAUUUAGGUAGCGCCUCGUGAAUUCAUCUCCGGGGGUAGAGCA